RNAcentral lists this transfer RNA (65 nucleotides) under Pericoma sp. ZHK-2021. Its description in RNAcentral is "tRNA-Asp". The record is from RNAcentral. Lineage: Eukaryota; Metazoa; Arthropoda; Insecta; Diptera; Psychodidae.
AAAAAAUUAGUUAAAUUAUAACCUUAGUUUGUCAAACUAAAAUUACUAUAAAUUAGUAUUUUUUA